This 505-nucleotide ribosomal RNA is filed under the name uncultured bacterium. Its description in RNAcentral is "bacterial SSU rRNA". It matches the Rfam family "Bacterial small subunit ribosomal RNA", at positions 9 to 510 of the family's 1533-position model. The record is from RNAcentral.
GAGUUUGAUCCUGGCUCAGGAUGAACGCUGGCGGCGUGCUUAACACAUGCAAGUCGAACGGAACACCCUAGAAGGAGUUUUCGGACAACUGAUAGGACUGUUUAGUGGCGGACGGGUGAGUAACGCGUGAGUAACCUGCCUUGGAGUGGGGAAUAACAGUUGGAAACAGCUGCUAAUACCGCAUAAUAUAUCUGGGUCGCAUGGCUCUGGAUAUCAAAGAUUUAUCGCUCUGAGAUGGACUCGCGUCUGAUUAGCUGGUUGGCGGGGUAACGGCCCACCAAGGCGACGAUCAGUAGCCGGACUGAGAGGUUGGCCGGCCACAUUGGGACUGAGACACGGCCCAGACUCCUACGGGAGGCAGCAGUGGGGAAUAUUGGGCAAUGGGCGCAAGCCUGACCCAGCAACGCCGCGUGAAGGAAGAAGGCUUUCGGGUUGUAAACUUCUUUUCUCAGGGACGAAGCAAGUGACGGUACCUGAGGAAUAAGCCACGGCUAACUACGUGCCA